AGAGUUAAAUAGUACGUGAAAUUGUUGAAAGGGAAACGAUUGAAGUCAGUGUUGCGUCUAGGAAAUCAGCUAGGAGGACUUGUGGCAGUGGGGGUUAGGAAGAGUGCUAUAACACCUUUCUUCCUCACUGGUCCCUUGUUAGACUGGUGCACUUUUCUAGAUGCAGGUCAACAUCAGUUUUGGCCGACGUACAAAGCUUCAAGGAAGGUAGCGAUCACCUCGGUGGUCGUGUUAUAGCCUUGAUUCUAUGCGCCGGUUGGGACUGAGGAACGCAGUGCGAGUCCCUUCGGGGCUUGGGCCUACGGUGGCUUUCUUGAUCCCUGGUUUAGACUGCUUGCAGACUGAAUCCGCCGGUUAGGAAAAUCUGCCGCAAGGUCGCAAUUCGCGCUAAGGAUGUUGACGAAAUGGCUUUAAACGACC
This 420-nucleotide ribosomal RNA is filed under the name uncultured fungus. RNAcentral describes it as "eukaryotic LSU rRNA". The record is from RNAcentral. Lineage: Eukaryota; Fungi.